GACGAACCGUGCAAACGUUAUUCGGAAUCACUGGGCAUAAAGGGCGCGUAGGCGGCUCGAAAAGUCAGGGGUGAAAUCCGGCAGCUUAACUGUCGCAGUGCCUUUGAUACUGUCGAGCUCGAGGGAUGUAGGGGUCUGUGGAACUUCCGGUGGAGCGGUGAAAUGCGUUGAUAUCGGAAGGAACGCCGGUGGCGAAAGCGACGGACUGGACAUCUUCUGACGCUGAGGCGCGAAAGCCAGGGGAGCAAACGGG
This 253-nucleotide ribosomal RNA is filed under the name uncultured bacterium. RNAcentral describes it as "partial 16S ribosomal RNA". It matches the Rfam family "Bacterial small subunit ribosomal RNA", at positions 524 to 776 of the family's 1533-position model. RNAcentral also lists the same sequence under 1 other name. The record is from RNAcentral.